UUCUGGUUGAUCCUGCCAGAGGCGACCGCUUUUGGAGUUCGAUUAAGCCAUGCGAGUCGAGAGCCUUAGGGGCUCGGCAUACUGCUCAGUAACACGUGGAUAACCUGCCCUAUUGUCUGGAAUAACCUCGGGAAACUGAGAACAAGGCCGGAUAACCCACAAUGCCUGGAACGGUUUGUGGGUGAAGAUAGGAUGGGUCUGCGGCGUAUCAGGUCGUAGGGGGUGUAAUGGACCUCCUAGCCAUCGACGCGUACGGGUGUUGGGAGACAUAGCCCGGAGAUGGAUUCUGAGACACGAAUCCAGACCCUACGGGGUGCAGCAGGCGCGAAAACUUCACACUGCAGGAAACUGUGAUGAGGGAACUCCAAGUGCAUUCACUAUGUGGAUGCUUUUUUUGACUAUUAAUCGGUCAACGAAUAAGGGCUGGGAAAGACCGGUGCCAGCCGCCGCGGUAAUACCGGCAGCUCAAGUGGUCGUCGCUUUUAUUGGGCCUAAAACGUCCGUAGCCUGUUUGGUAAAUCUGUGGGUAAAUCAACCAGCUUAACUGGUUGAAUUCUGCAGAGACUGCCAGACUAGGGACCGGGAGAGGUGUGGGGUACUCUAGGGGUAGGGGUAAAAUCCUGUCAUCCUUAGAGGACCACCAGUUGCGAAGGCGCCACACUGGAACGGAUCCGACGGUCAGGGACGAAGCCUAGGGGCACGAACCGGAUUAGAUACCCGGGUAGUCCUAGGUGUAAACGCUGUGAACUUGGUGUCGGGG
This 760-nucleotide ribosomal RNA is filed under the name uncultured Candidatus Poseidoniales archaeon. Its description in RNAcentral is "bacterial SSU rRNA". It matches the Rfam family "Archaeal small subunit ribosomal RNA", at positions 1 to 779 of the family's 1478-position model. The record is from RNAcentral. Lineage: Archaea; Methanobacteriati; Thermoplasmatota; Candidatus Poseidoniia; Candidatus Poseidoniales.